AAAAGCGUAACUAAUUAAGCAAAGAGAUGCAAUUAAAAACAAUUAACAAUUGCUAAACUAGAUAGUUCUACACUAGUCGGCCCUAGGUGAGGCUUCUUGGACACUUGGAGCCCUUGAAGACACACCCACCGUCUAAUCACGUAAUUAAAGAAGUAAUUAACAAAAGUUAAGUUGCAAAGAAAAUAAAGAAAACUCCCUUUGUUGAUCUUUUUUUUUUUGCUAUUGGCACUUCUUUGGUUGUCUU
Molecule: long non-coding RNA, 244 nt
Filed under: Phaseolus vulgaris (common bean)
Lineage: Eukaryota; Viridiplantae; Streptophyta; Magnoliopsida; Fabales; Fabaceae
Description: long non-coding RNA (PVUL_LNC003485)
Source: RNAcentral